UUACAGGGGAAGUCGGUGAUCCUAUGCUGCCAAGAAAAUCUUCUAGCGAGGUUCGAGCCGCCCGUACCCCAAACCGACUCAGGUGGUUAGGUAGAGAAUACCAAGGCGAUCGAGUGAAUCGUGGUUAAGGAAUUCGGCAAAAUACCCCCGUAACUUCGGGAGAAGGGGGGCCCAGAGGGUGACGGGACUUGCUCCCCGAGCCUGAACGGCCGCAGAGACCAGGGAGAAGCGACUGUUUACUAAAAACACAGGUCCGUGCCAAGUCGCAAGACGAUGUAUACGGACUGACGCCUGCCCGGUGCUGGAACGUUAAGGGGACCGGUUAGCCUCACGGCGAAGCUGAGAACUUAAGCGCCAGUAAACGGCGGUGGUAACUAUAACCAUCCUAAGGUAGCGAAAUUCCUUGUCGGGUAAGUUCCGACCUGCACGAAUGGCGUAACGAUUUCUCCACUGUCUCAACCACGAACUCGGCGAAAUUGCACUACGAGUAAAGAUGCUCGUUACGCGCAGAAGGACGGAAAGACCCCGGGACCUUUACUACAGCUUGGUAUUGGUGUUCGGUACGGCUUGUGUAGGAUAGGUGGGAGACUGUGAAGCUGACACGCCAGUGUCGGUGGAGUCAACGUUGAAAUACCACUCUGGUCGUUCUGGAUAUCUAACCUAGGUCCGUGAUCCGGAUCAGGGACAGUGCCUGGUGGGUAGUUUAACUGGGGCGGUUGCCUCCUAAAAGGUAACGGAGGCGCCCAAAGGUUCCCUCAGCCUGGUUGGCAAUCAGGUUUUGAGUGUAAGUGCACAAGGGAGCUUGACUGUGAGACUGACAAGUCGAACAGGGACGAAAGUCGGGACUAGUGAUCCGGCGGUGGCUUGUGGAAGCGCCGUCGCUCAACGGAUAAGAGGUACCCCGGGGAUAACAGGCUGAUCUUGCCCAAGAGUCCAUAUCGACGGCAUGGUUUGGCACCUCGAUGUCGGCUCGUCGCAUCCUGGGGCUGGAGUAGGUCCCAAGGGUUGGGCUGUUCGCCCAUUAAAGCGGUACGCGAGCUGGGUUUAGAACGUCGUGAGACAGUUCGGUCCCUAUCCUCUGCGCGCGCAGGAAACUUGAGAAGGGCUGUCCCUACUACGAGAGGACCGGGAUGGACGAACCUCUGGUGUGUCAGUUGUUCUGCCAAGAGCACCGCUGAUUAGCUACGUUCGGGAGUGAUAACCGCUGAAAGCAUCUAAGCGGGAAGCAUGCUUCAAGAUGAGGUUUCCAUGGGGUUUACCCCGAGAGGCUCCCAGCUAGACUACUGGGUUGAUAGGCCGGAUGUGGAAGUGCGGUAACGCAUGGAGCUGACCGGUACUGAUAAGCC
Molecule: ribosomal RNA, 1346 nt
Filed under: metagenome
Description: bacterial LSU rRNA
Rfam family: Bacterial large subunit ribosomal RNA
Source: RNAcentral